This is a non-coding RNA of Vicia faba (fava bean), 246 nucleotides long. The record is from the annotation of a GenBank genome assembly. Lineage: Eukaryota; Viridiplantae; Streptophyta; Magnoliopsida; Fabales; Fabaceae.
AUGGAUGUUUUCCAUGUUACAGAUCAAGAUGGAAAUAAGUUAACAGAUGAGAGUGUUUUGAACAUUCAUAAUGGAAAAACCAAUCAUAGAAAUGGUCUCAUUGCAUUGGAAUUAAAGGGGACGAAUCGUGUUGGUCUUAUUUCUGAAGUGUUUGCAGUAUUGGCUGAGUUUCAAUGUGAUGUGGUCGAGGCUAAAGUUUGGACACACAAUGGCUGGACUGCUUCUUUAAUUUAUGUUAAGGAUUGA